GUGGGGAAUAUUGGACAAUGGGCGAAAGCCUGAUCCAGCCAUGCCGCGUGUGUGAAGAAGGUCUUCGGAUUGUAAAGCACUUUAAGUUGGGAGGAAGGGCAGUAAGUUAAUACCUUGCUGUUUUGACGUUACCAACAGAAUAAGCACCGGCUAACUUCGUGCCAGCAGCCGCGGUAAUACGAAGGGUGCAAGCGUUAAUCGGAAUUACUGGGCGUAAAGCGCGCGUAGGUGGUUUGGUAAGAUGGAUGUGAAAUCCCCGGGCUCAACCUGGGAACUGCAUCCAUAACUGCCUGACUAGAGUACGGUAGAGGGUGGUGGAAUUUCCUGUGUAGCGGUGAAAUGCGUAGAUAUAGGAAGGAACACCAGUGGCGAAGGCGACCACCUGGACUGAUACUGACACUGAGGUGCGAAAGCGUGGGGAGCAAACAGGAUUAGAAACCCGUGUAGUCC
RNAcentral lists this ribosomal RNA (450 nucleotides) under uncultured bacterium. Its description in RNAcentral is "partial 16S ribosomal RNA". It matches the Rfam family "Bacterial small subunit ribosomal RNA", at positions 354 to 796 of the family's 1533-position model. The record is from RNAcentral.